RNAcentral lists this ribosomal RNA (406 nucleotides) under uncultured bacterium. RNAcentral describes it as "partial 16S ribosomal RNA". It matches the Rfam family "Bacterial small subunit ribosomal RNA", at positions 30 to 526 of the family's 1533-position model. The record is from RNAcentral.
AUUGAACGCUGGCGGCAGGCCUAACACAUGCAAGUCGAACGAGUGGCGGACGGGUGAGUAAUGUCUGGGAAACUGCCUGAUGGAGGGGGAUAACUACUGGAAACGGUCGCUAAUACCCCCUACCCUCAGUUGUGCCCAGAUGGGAUUAGCUAGUUGGUGGGGUAACGGCUCACAAAGGCGACGAUGCCUCUCUGGUCUGAGAGGAUGACCAGCCACACUGGAAGUGAGACACGGUCCAGACUCCUACGGGAGGCAGCAGGGGGGAAUAUUGCACAAUGGGCGAAAGCCUGAUGCAGCAAUGCCGCGUGUAUGAGAAAGGCCUGCGGGUUGUAAAGUACUUUCAGCGGGGAGGCGUUACCCGAAGAAGAAGCAACGGCUAACUCCGUGCCAGCAGCCGCGGUAAUAC